ACCCAACUGACGAGUUCUAAAUAGGACAAAACCCUCGUCUUAGAU
RNAcentral lists this non-coding RNA (45 nucleotides) under Schistosoma mattheei. The record is from RNAcentral. Lineage: Eukaryota; Metazoa; Platyhelminthes; Trematoda; Strigeidida; Schistosomatidae.